CAGGCUUAACACAUGCAAGUCGAGGGGCAGCAUCAUCAAAGCUUGCUUUGAUGGAUGGCGACCGGCGCACGGGUGAGUAACACGUAUCCAACCUGCCGACAACACUGGGAUAGCCUUUCGAAAGAAAGAUUAAUACCGGAUGGCAUAGUUUUCCCGCAUGGGAUAAUUAUUAAAGAAUUUCGGUUGUCGAUGGGGAUGCGUUCCAUUAGGCAGUUGGCGGGGUAACGGCCCACCAAACUUACGAUGGAUAGGGGUUCUGAGAGGAAGGUCCCCCACAUUGGAACUGAGACACGGUCCAAACUCCUACGGGAGGCAGCAGUGAGGAAUAUUGGUCAAUGGACGAGAGUCUGAACCAGCCAAGUAGCGUGAAGGAUGACUGCCCUAUGGGUUGUAAACUUCUUUUAUACGGGAAUAAAGUGAGCCACGUGUGGCUUUUUGUAUGUACCGUAUGAAUAAGGAUCGGCUAACUCCGUGCCAGCAGCCGCGGUAAUACGGAGGAUUCGAGCGUUAUCCGGAUUUAUUGGGUUUAAAGGGAGCGUAGGCGGGUUGUUAAGUCAGUUGUGAAAGUUUGCGGCUCAACCGUAAAAUUGCAGUUGAUACUGGCGACCUUGAGUGCAACAGAGGUAGGCGGAAUUCGUGGUGUAGCGGUGAAAUGCUUAGAUAUCACGAAGAACUCCGAUUGCGAAGGCAGCUUACUGGAUUGUAACUGACGCUGAUGCUCGAAAGUGUGGGUAUCAAACAGGAUUAGAUACCCUGGUAGUCCACACAGUAAACGAUGAAUACUCGCUGUUGGCGAUAUACAGUCAGCGGCCAAGCGAAAGCAUUAAGUAUUCCACCUGGGGAGUACGCCGGCAACGGUGAAACUCAAAGGAAUUGACGGGGGCCCGCACAAGCGGAGGAACAUGUGGUUUAAUUCGAUGAUACGCGAGGAACCUUACCCGGGCUUAAAUUGCAACUGACGGAACCGGAAACGGUUCUUUCUUCGGACAGUUGUGAAGGUGCUGCAUGGUUGUCGUCAGCUCGUGCCGUGAGGUGUCGGCUUAAGUGCCAUAACGAGCGCAACCCUUACGGGUAGUUACCAUCAGGUUAUGCUGGGGACUCUACCCGGACUGCCGUCGUAAGAUGUGAGGAAGGUGGGGAUGACGUCAAAUCAGCACGGCCCUUACGUCCGGGGCUACACACGUGUUACAAUGGGGGGUACAGAAGGCAGCUACACGGCGACGUGGUGCUAAUCCCAAAAGCCUCUCUCAGUUCGGAUUGGAGUCUGCAACCCGACUCCAUGAAGCUGGAUUCGCUAGUAAUCGCGCAUCAGCCACGGCGCGGUGAAUACGUUCCCGGGCCUUGUACACACCGCCCGUCAAGCCAUGGGAGCCGGGGGUACCUGAAGUGCGUAACCGAAAGGAGCGCCCUAGGGUAAAACUGGUGACUGGGGC
RNAcentral lists this ribosomal RNA (1433 nucleotides) under uncultured organism. RNAcentral describes it as "SSU rRNA". It matches the Rfam family "Bacterial small subunit ribosomal RNA". The record is from RNAcentral.